RNAcentral lists this ribosomal RNA (468 nucleotides) under uncultured bacterium. Its description in RNAcentral is "partial 16S ribosomal RNA". It matches the Rfam family "Bacterial small subunit ribosomal RNA", at positions 28 to 507 of the family's 1533-position model. The record is from RNAcentral.
GACGAACGCUGGCGGCGUGCUUAACACAUGCAAGUCGAACGGAAAGGCCCUGCUUUUGUGGGGUGCUCGAGUGGCGAACGGGUGAGUAACACGUGAGUAACCUGCCCUUGACUUUGGGAUAACUUCAGGAAACUGGGGCUAAUACCGGAUAGGAGCUCCUGCUGCAUGGUGGGGGUUGGAAAGUUUCGGCGGUUGGGGAUGGACUCGCGGCUUAUCAGCUUGUUGGUGGGGUAGUGGCUUACCAAGGCUUUGACGGGUAGCCGGCCUGAGAGGGUGACCGGCCACAUUGGGACUGAGAUACGGCCCAGACUCCUACGGGAGGCAGCAGUGGGGAAUAUUGCAAAAUGGGCGGAAGCCUGAUGCAGCAACGCCGCGUGCGGGAUGACGGCCUUCGGGUUGUAAACCGCUUUCGCCUGUGACGAAGCGUGAGUGACGGUAAUGGGUAAAGAAGCACCGGCUAACUACGUG